GUUGGUAGCCAUGGAGGAGAGGGUACACCCAAUCCCAUUCCGAACUUGGAAGUUAAGCUCUCCAUCGCCGAUGAUACUGCAUAACGUCAUGUGGGAAAGUAGGCCGCUGCCAACA
Non-coding RNA from Desulfovibrio desulfuricans, 115 nucleotides. The record is from Rfam. Lineage: Bacteria; Pseudomonadati; Thermodesulfobacteriota; Desulfovibrionia; Desulfovibrionales; Desulfovibrionaceae.